RNAcentral lists this long non-coding RNA (400 nucleotides) under Mustela putorius furo (domestic ferret). RNAcentral's name for it is "lncRNA (ENSMPUG00000029075.1)". Lineage: Eukaryota; Metazoa; Chordata; Mammalia; Carnivora; Mustelidae. The record is from RNAcentral.
UUUUAAACAAGUUGUCCCUUUGGUCUUCUUUGUAGACCUUGGUAAGCCUUGAAAAGAUCUUGGCGAUCAUGUAAUUCUCUGCCCUUCUUUUACCAGUGAGAAGACUGAGGCCUAGAAGAGGGGAAAGAAGAUUUUCCUGCUUGUCUCCCCACUGGCAUCUCAAGCAGAGCUUACAAAGGGGAUCCCUUGGGGCAAGCUUCCUUCCCCACUGCCAAUAUCACCCUCUAGUUCCUUUCUUGCAGUGGCCAGGCAAUGUCAAAGUCCAUGCCAAGGAGUGUCAACCAGGAACGCAUCUUCUUUCUUGAAAUACGUCGUGAAUCAGCAGGCAGGCCCCUCAAGACCCCAGCGAUGCAGCUUGCUGGGUCCAGCACACAGUAACCCAGAAACAUAUGUGGGCUGA